RNAcentral lists this ribosomal RNA (448 nucleotides) under uncultured bacterium. Its description in RNAcentral is "bacterial SSU rRNA". It matches the Rfam family "Bacterial small subunit ribosomal RNA", at positions 29 to 524 of the family's 1533-position model. The record is from RNAcentral.
AACGAACGCUGGCGGCAUGCCUAACACAUGCAAGUCGAACGAGACCUUCGGGUCUAGUGGCGCACGGGUGCGUAACGCGUGGGAACCUGCCUUUAGGUUCGGAAUAACUCAGAGAAAUUUGAGCUAAUACCGGAUAAUGUCUUCGGACCAAAGAUUUAUCGCCUUUAGAUGGGCCCGCGUAAGAUUAGCUAGUUGGUGGGGUAAAGGCCUACCAAGGCGACGAUCUUUAGCUGGUCUGAGAGGAUGAUCAGCCACACUGGGACUGAGACACGCCCAGACUCCUACGGAGGCAGCAGUGGGGAAUAUUGGACAAUGGGCGAAAGCCUGAUCCAGCAAUGCCGCGUGAGUGAUGAAGCCUUAGGGUUGUAAAGGCUCUUUCACCGGUGAAGAUAAUGACGGUAACCGGAGAAGAAGCCCCGGCUAACUUCGUGCCAGCAGCCGCGGUAAU